AGCAGCGUGGCUCAGUGGAAAGAGCCCGGGCUUGGGAGUCAGAGGUCAUGGGUUCGAAUCCCACCUCUGCCA
RNAcentral lists this transfer RNA (72 nucleotides) under Ornithorhynchus anatinus (platypus). It matches the Rfam family "tRNA". From Rfam's summary of the family: Transfer RNA (tRNA) molecules are approximately 80 nucleotides in length. Their secondary structure includes four short double-helical elements and three loops (D, anti-codon, and T loops). Lineage: Eukaryota; Metazoa; Chordata; Mammalia; Monotremata; Ornithorhynchidae. The record is from Rfam by way of RNAcentral.